AUGAAUGGCUUAACAUGAUUGGAAUGGAGCCAGGUUGCCACGGCUCCCCGGGUUUGGCGUAGCGCUUCCUAGCAACAGAUCGUCUCCUGGUUUCUCGGCGCUGGCAAUGAGAAAGGGAUUGGUCGAAUGCAGUUUCCAUUCACCCCGGGGGAACGUGGCAGACCAGGGGCGGGGAACGAGAGAGACAGCAGCCCACCCAGGGCCGGGGCUACUGCAUAGGUGGGCAGUGAGAGAGAAACAGGAGGGCCAUUUCCACGCUCAAGUGCCUCGUUUUUUUCGUUCCGGAUGCUGUCUCUUUAGAUAUCUCCAUGGUGACGGCGAGGACGCGCAGAGAGGAGCAAGGAGGCGGGGACGAGCUUGUUUCUUGUGUGUGUUGAGUACAGUAAAGGGUUCAGCAAAGUGACGUGUGCGGAUCAGACGGGUUCUGUGGAUGGACAAAGCAAGUCUGAGCUUGGUUAACAUGUCACCUCCUUUGGCACCUGGAUGUUGCUCUUGUUUUGGACAGUCUCCAUCACACAGCAGACAAGAUUCGGCCGCUAUGGAAGAAUUGUACUGAACAAAAAUUGAUGCUAUCCUGCAAAACAUCCUGGUCACCAGUGGCAAGACAUUAUGAAGAAGACACUUGACUCUAGAUUGAUGUGGAGGGCUGACCUCCAAGAAUGAAAAUGGGGAGUGCAUUUCAGAAGGUUGCCUCUGUCUUAUCUUGCAGCCCUGAUGAUGAACUGAGCUGCGUUUCGACCGACAUGGAUGAAGUAAUGGCUGACAGGAUGCUGGAUGCCUGCCACAAGAAGAUAAAGAGGCUCCCAGUUCCGAUCUGCUCGUUCACCCAUGUAGAGAAGUUGUACAUCAGCAACAACAAGCUGAGGGAACUCCCCAAUGAGUUUGAGCAGCUGGUCAACUUAAAAAUUCUAGCACUGGACUUUAACAAAUUUGAAGAUGUGCCUAAAGUUGUAUGCAAUAUGCAAAACCUAACCCGGCUCUAUCUUGGGAGCAAUAGAUUAAUGACAAUUCCUCCAGAGUUUAGGAAUCUAGAAAAUCUCAGGUGUCUAUGGAUAGAGAGCAAUUAUUUCAGAAAAUUUCCCAAACAGUUAAUUAAUAUGCCCAGUCUGAGGUCACUCCAGAUGGGAGACAACAAGCUAAAGACUUUACCAGAGGAUCUGGUUAGGUUCAUAAAUUUGCGUGGAUUUUGGUUGUAUGGAAAUAGAUUUGAGGACUUCCCGAAAGUAUUACUUAAAAUGGAAUUUCUAGAAAUCCUCGAUGUGGACAAAAACAAAAUUACUGAGUUCCCUAAUAUGGAACACCUUUCAAGGCUCAAACUGCUUUCCUAUGACCAUAAUCCUGCCAAGCACCCACCAAGUGUUGCAGAUGGUGUAACACUGGUAGGUGAAGGGGCAGCUGAAUUAAGGGCUGCCAGGGCUCAAGAAAGUGAAGAGAAUGAUGAAAAUCAGGAGCCUCUGCACAGCAUCCUCAAAAAUGGUUCCAUGGGACUGGAAACAGAGGGAAACUUCUCCACUUUAGACUGUUCUCAAGAGGAGACAUGAGACCUACUGCGGAUAUCAGCCAAGGAAUAUCACAUACCAGGCACUGAGUGACAGACAGCUCCUUUGAAGUCAUUGUGAGAUGGUGGGUAACUCACUCUGGAACAGUCAGAAAUGGAGUAGGCAGCUGAAGAUAUAAAUGGCUCAAUGGACAGGAACUGGAUGAAAAUACAGUCAAACACACACACAAAAAAAGAAAAAUUGGUUAUUUCUCUGUAGACGCUAUUUGUCAGAUUACAGGAAUGGGUGUGUUUAAACCAGAAAGGGCCCUUUUAAUGAAAGAUUUUGCUGUGACAAAUUUCUCAGCUGAUUGUGUUAACAAUGUGGAUGUGCCACAUGCAAUUUAGGACCAUAUGUAUCUGUAUUAUCAGAUUAACUUAAAAAUGUCUAUAACUCUGCAUCGCAGUGAUAACAGUUGGAUAAUACUUCAUAGGAGAAAGUAGUCAUUAACUGUUAUAAGUAUUACAGUAAUGAAGCUUGAAGGCCAGUUUUCAUAUUACAAUAAGAUUUCGGGUGAGAGUUACAUAUUUAUUAAUAAGUUGUUCUUACUAAUAAAUUUGUAAUGAAUAAAGCAUCACAAGAAUGUGUUACUUUUGCACAAUGGACCAUCUUCAGCUGCAUUACUAAACUCCAUUCAUCACUUUGAAAAUAAGCUGCUUCAUCGAUUGUUUACAUGUUCAUAGAAUUCCAAUGAGUUAAAAAUAACAACUCAUUCUGUCCACAGCAGAGGUUUUAAAAAAAAGCAAAAAAAAAUCACACACUCAGUAUUUGCAUGCAUGACUUGCUUUACGUUUACAUUUCCUUAAAUGGCAAGAGAGAGAUUUUUUCAGCUGUAAGGGAGUGUGCCAGGAAUGCAGUUUAAAUCUGCUCACAUAUCCACUCCUUUACUUCUGUUUAGGGACAAACGAUUCAUGGCAUUACAAAAAACAUAAGCCAGGAAAUGAGGGACAAAGAUAUUACAAUAAAUGAAAAUUGUCAUACUGCUGCAAUUGUGGGAAAUCGUGUGGACAUAGACAUCUGCAGGGGCACUAUAAUUGCUGAGCAAUGUAAAUAAACAUGCAGGACUUUAUUGAAGAAUUUCUAUUUCCUCCCCUUUUUAUUUAAUCCAUUUAUCAGGGCAAUCUUACCGAGGUUUAAGUCCUAAAACGAGGGGAAAAAAAAGCAAGAAAAUUGGCGAAUGUGACAUACUGGUCUGACUCAUCCUGUACACUUCAAAAUAGAGCUUAUUUUUUAUGGUUGUGACCUUAGAAGGAGGCUUUGCUGAGUGUGAAUCUGUGCCUUGAAGGAAGAAAGGUCCUAUUUCAGCUGCUACAGGGG
Stegostoma tigrinum is the source of this 2855-nucleotide RNA transcript. It is a transcript of the gene named leucine-rich repeat-containing protein 10B, with no coding region annotated. The record is from RefSeq and is a predicted model, not a curated record. Lineage: Eukaryota; Metazoa; Chordata; Chondrichthyes; Orectolobiformes; Stegostomatidae. The transcript has 4 exons.